Molecule: long non-coding RNA, 1145 nt
Organism: Gambusia affinis (western mosquitofish)
Lineage: Eukaryota; Metazoa; Chordata; Actinopteri; Cyprinodontiformes; Poeciliidae
Exons: 4
Source: RefSeq, a predicted model, not a curated record
UAUGAGCAAUGCAGACUUCUGAUUGCAGCUGUGCUCUGUGUUUCACGGCAAAUGACAUACAGGUGUCGCUCAUUUCGCGCCUCGCCUCCACUCUUGUGGAAACAGAAUCAGCAGCGGCCGCCGUGACAGGAUGUGAAUUUCCCGCUCCGAGGUCAUCGCUCCGCGCAACUCGACUUAACCCCGCUUCUGGCAGUCGGCACUGCUUCUCCCCCGAGGCUGUGAGUCCUUCACUGACCCAAAGAAUCCCAGAACAACAAACCCUUCUUCUUUUUUCUUUCUUUUUUUUUCUUACUGCAAGCGGGGGGCCUGGAAGUCAUCACUGAUACUGGCAACAGUCAAGAGAGCUUGGAGGUCAUCAAUAACGACUCCAUUUACUUAACACCGACCCAAACACCUGCUCAUUCAUCACGGCUGACACGCGUCAGCCUGGUUCAUUUCUCACACGGGAGCCGGUCAGCCGGCGCAAGAUCUCGAUCGGGUCACCUCCGGGGAUUGGUUCUCUGCAGGCAGAGCCGAGUUUAAAGCCACUUGGCUCGCGGUUCUUCUCGCGUGUUGGCUGCGUUUCAACGCGGCAGUGCGUCGAUGGGUCGAGCGUUCCCGCACGGCGGUCGGAUUGCGCCUCGUCACCGAUUCCCCGCGUGGUCUGACGAGCCAAAUUCAGCGCCUUUUUAUUUUUGACGUUACAAGCAGGGGCGGCACAAAUAUUUUUUGGGGCAUGUGCUCAAGUGGAUGAAAGGGGGCACCUUGUGAGGAGUGUAGAAUCACCAGCUGCCUUAGCAGGGUUCUCUAGCACCACCUACUGUCCAUCUGUGCCCGUCCCUGAUUGGAAGUACUCUGGCUUGUACCACGCACAAACGAUCAACAUUGAAACACAGCAAAUCUGUAUCGUUUAGCCAGCAGCUCCGUCUGGUUUUGUCGUCCAGAGUGAGACGUUGAGACAUGUCCAAACACUCGUGGAGAAUUGUGCAGAUCUACGCUGAUCUAUGCUGGGCUAUACAGAGAUAAAUACACAUUUAGGAGCGAUACAUCUCUCUCCUAAACUCGAGCAAAGUAAGUUGGAGUGAGAUGGCGCACACAUCAAGUCUAUGUCUGGCCUCCGGCGCUGUGUGUGCAGAAUCCUCAGAGAAGAAGAAUGUAACAAGCAG